RNAcentral lists this ribosomal RNA (483 nucleotides) under Prevotella sp. oral taxon 298. Its description in RNAcentral is "bacterial SSU rRNA". It matches the Rfam family "Bacterial small subunit ribosomal RNA", at positions 28 to 498 of the family's 1533-position model. Lineage: Bacteria; Pseudomonadati; Bacteroidota; Bacteroidia; Bacteroidales; Prevotellaceae. The record is from RNAcentral.
GAUGAACGCUAGCUACAGGCUUAACACAUGCAAGUCGAGGGGAAACGGCAUUAAGUGCUUGCACUUUUUGGACGUCGACCGGCGCACGGGUGAGUAACGCGUAUCCAACCUUCCCAUGACUAAGGGAUAACCUGCCGAAAGGCAGACUAAUACCUUAUGGUCUUCACUGACGGCAUCAGAUGUGAAGUAAAGAUUUAUCGGUUAUGGAUGGGGAUGCGUCUGAUUAGUUAGUUGGCGGGGUAACGGCCCACCAAGGCAACGAUCAGUAGGGGUUCUGAGAGGAAGGUCCCCCACAUUGGAACUGAGACACGGUCCAAACUCCUACGGGAGGCAGCAGUGAGGAAUAUUGGUCAAUGGGCGAGAGCCUGAACCAGCCAAGUAGCGUGCAGGACGACGGCCCUAUGGGUUGUAAACUGCUUUUGUAUGGGGAUAAAGUCAAUCACGUGUGAUUGUUUGCAGGUACCAUACGAAUAAGGACCGGCU